RNAcentral lists this ribosomal RNA (2289 nucleotides) under Isoannulus morrisianae. Its description in RNAcentral is "partial small subunit ribosomal RNA". It matches the Rfam family "Eukaryotic small subunit ribosomal RNA". Lineage: Eukaryota; Metazoa; Arthropoda; Arachnida; Trombidiformes; Eriophyidae. The record is from RNAcentral.
UGUAAAGUUCAAGCUCCGAUUAUGAGGGCGAAACCGCGAAUGGCUCAUUAAAUCAGUCAUAAUCUACUUGAUUGUUUAAAGGUUAUAUGGAUAACUGUGGUAAUUCUAGAGCUAAUACAUGCACAAAGGGGGCGACUCUAGCGAUAGAGAAGCUCUGCGUUUAUUAGACUAAGACCAAUGAUUGGAGCAAUCCAAUCUUAGUUAAGGUGACUCUGAGUAAAUAAUGGGUGAAAGCCCAUGUUGCUGACCUGACAUACCAAAAAGCUUUCACGAGCUUGUCAGGCAAAUCAAUCGAGUGUCUGCUCUAUCAACUGUGGAUGGUAGGGUAAUUGCCUACCAUGGUGAUGACGGGUAACGGGGAGUUAGGGCUCGACUCCGGAGAACAAGCCUGAGAAACGGCUAGUAGGACUAAGGUCUGCAGCAGGCGCGAAACUUACACAAUGCUAGAUUACAAUUAGCGAUGUAGUGAAGAAAAAUAACGAUGUACUUACAUUUAUACAUGUUAGUACAAUUGGAAUGAGACGACUAUAAACCAGUCAGUCGAGUAACAAAUGGAGGGCAAGUCUGGUGCCAGCAGCCGCGGUAAUUCCAGCUCCAUUAGCAUACAUUAAAGUUGUUGCGGUUAAAAAGCUCGUAGUUGAAUUUUAGGCGGGCUCUAUUGGGAUGCAAUCGUUAAGACCUAUGUACGUCUCCGGAUUACAUUUGGUUGGUUGUAUUUCCCUAUAGGAACCCGCUGUUUCGUCACUUAAUCGAGUGCGAAGCGGGCUGGUACAAGGAUCUAUCCUCCGGGAUGAUCUUGUUUCAGCAUGUUUACCUUGAGAAAAUUAGAGUGCUCACAGCAGGCAGUUGGGGCCUUAAAACCCCUUUAUGCUUGAAUAAUGUUGCAUGGAAUAAUAGAAUACGGCCUCGGUUCUAUUCUGUUGGUCUUAUAGAACAACAAACAAGUUGAUUAAAGCGACAAAAAGUUUGCUUGCGAGCGUGGUUCAAAAUGUCCAAUUUGCCGGUAUCUUGGUGAAUAAUAUAAUUCUAUUGCCUUUGGGUCAAACCUUUGAGCUAGGUUUAUUAUUUCUACCAAAUAUCUGGUAAUUGGCUCCAUCUUGUUCCAUCCAAAGCGCUCCUAGUUAAACUAGCUUUCUAAUCAACUGAGGCAAUGGUUAAAAGAAAUAGUCGCGGCGGCAUCAGUACUGCAUCGUGAGAGGUGAAAUUCUUAGACCGAUGCAAGACUAACUGAAGCGAAAGCGUUUGCCGAGGAUAUUUUCAUUAAUCAAGAACGAAAGUUAGAGGUUCGAAGGCGAUCAGAUACCGCCCUAGUUCUAACCAUAAACGUUGCCAACUAGCAAUUGGGUUGCGAUUCCUUUAAUCGAAGCUUAAAAAACUUCGAUCAUUAUGAUCCACCCAGCGGCUCUCGUAGGGAAACCAAAGUGUUUGGGUUCCGGGGGAAGUAUGAUUGCAAAGUUGAAACUUAAAGGAAUUGACGGAAGGGCACCACCAGGAGUGGAGCCUGCGGCUUAAUUUGACUCAACACGGGGAAACUUACUAGAUUAGAACUCUGGAAUGAUUGACAGAUUGAUAGCUCUUUCUUGAUUCAGAGGAUGGUGGUGCAUGGCCGUUCUUGAUUCGUAUUCCGAAACGUCUGCUUAAUUGCGAUAACGAGUGAGACCUCACCCAACUAACUAGUCGCUCGGUGCGCUGUGGGACACAAAAGUCUCCAUAGGAUUGUUAGGUAGUCGCGGGCAACCGUUGGUUAUCUAGCGCCUGUGUGAGAUGUCCUCUGCUCGCCAGCGGACUUCUUAGAGGGAUAAACGGUGUUUUAGCCGUAAGAAACGAGGCAAUAACAGGUCUGUGAUGCCCUUAGAUAUUCUAGGCCGCACGCGUGCUACAAUGGCGUGUGCAAAAAGCUUGUUCGAGGUUUGUCUAGAGAGAACUGGCCAUUUGGUGGAUGUGUUGGGGCAACCUAGCGCGUUUAUCGGUGGAGAAGUGACUUUAGUUAGCAGGCCGAGAGAAACCGUAGUCGAAAGAUUACGGCAAUCAUAAAUACACGCCGUGAUUUGGGAUUGGGGAUUGCAAUUGUUGCCCAUGAACGAGGAAUUCCCAGUAAGCGCAAUUCAUCAUAUUGCGUUGAUUACGUCCCUGCCCUUUGUACACACCGCCCGUCGCUACUACCGAUUGGAAGUUUUAGUGAGGCAUUUGGACCUGCUAUCCAAAGGGAAGGCAACUUCUCUGGGACGGCGGGGAAGUCUGUCGAACUCAAAUUUCUAGAGGAAGUAAAAGUCGUAACAAGGUUUCCGU